RNAcentral lists this small RNA (158 nucleotides) under Lonchura striata (white-rumped munia). RNAcentral's name for it is "domestica (Bengalese finch) TUC338 (ENSLSDG00000010441.1)". Lineage: Eukaryota; Metazoa; Chordata; Aves; Passeriformes; Estrildidae. The record is from RNAcentral.
UUAACAACUCUGGAAACUUAAGCCUUCUAUUUAUCGCCAGAGUGGGUACUCUUGGGCGUGUGGAGGCAGGGCAAACUGUGACUUUACUGGAAGAGAAGGACUAAAAGUAGGGGUAAGAGGAUAUUUCAGUUUCUCUUCUAAUUAAUCUCACUGCUGAG